UACGUAGGGUGCGAGCGUUAAUCGGAAUUACUGGGCGUAAAGCGUGCGCAGGCGGUUUUGUAAGCCAGAUGUGAAAUCCCCGGGCUUAACCUGGGAAUGGCAUUUGGGACUGCAAGGCUUGAGUGCGGCAGAGGAGACUGGAAUUCCCGGUGUAGCGGCGAAAUGCGCAGAUAUCAGGAGGAACACCGAUGGCGAAGGCGGGUCUCUGGGCCGGAACUGACGCUGAGGAGCGAAAGCGUGGGGAGCGAACAGG
RNAcentral lists this ribosomal RNA (253 nucleotides) under uncultured bacterium. RNAcentral describes it as "partial 16S ribosomal RNA". It matches the Rfam family "Bacterial small subunit ribosomal RNA", at positions 524 to 776 of the family's 1533-position model. The record is from RNAcentral.